UCAAAACAGCGGACUUCGGUCUUUGCUGCACCCUUGUCUUUUGCGCACCGAAUUGUUUCCUCGGCGGGCUGCCUGCCGGUUGGACAUUAUCAAAACCUUUUUGUAGUUGCAAUCAGCGUCAGAAAAAUCAUAAUUAUUA
RNAcentral lists this unclassified non-coding RNA (139 nucleotides) under soil metagenome. RNAcentral's name for it is "partial internal transcribed spacer 1". The record is from RNAcentral.